AGGAUUCGGACCACGAUGGACAUGAGCUGCAGCUCUUAGUCUCUCUGGAGCAAGGGAAACAUCAAACAGCUAAUACGACAAGGAAAAUAUAUCACAAUCAGCCACCCUCCCUUCAUCGAUAAGGACAUGGCCCAGCUCCAAAACUCCCAGGCUCUGAAUCCCGGUACACCAAGGGGUCUGGUCCAGAAAGUGUGGUUCGACCUCCAGUUACAUCUGGGUCGAAGAGGAAAAGACGGGAACAGACAACUAAAGCCCAACGGCCUAAGAUACGCCACUCUCGCAUAUAACGAGGCCAUAAAGAAUCAUCUAGACCCAAGGGAGACACCGGUGCCAAUAUAUCCAACAAACACCGGCCUCUCGGGCAUUAUAACUUAAGUCAGCUGUGGUGGAUAACAACGUGAAUGUAUGGUUUCAUUUAUUAAA
Long non-coding RNA from Oncorhynchus nerka (sockeye salmon), 423 nucleotides. RefSeq lists it as uncharacterized. Lineage: Eukaryota; Metazoa; Chordata; Actinopteri; Salmoniformes; Salmonidae. The record is from RefSeq and is a predicted model, not a curated record. The transcript has 3 exons.